This 565-nucleotide ribosomal RNA is filed under the name fungal sp. BLH 73. RNAcentral describes it as "eukaryotic LSU rRNA". The stretch from base 202 to 355 matches the Rfam family "5.8S ribosomal RNA". Lineage: Eukaryota; Fungi. The record is from RNAcentral.
CUGCGGAGGGAUCAUUAAAGAGUUAAAAACAACUCCUAAACCCAUGUGAAACCUACCUUUGUUGCCUCGGCAGGUCUGCAACUUACCCUGAGGGUACCUACCCUGUAGGUACCUUACCCGGUAGUUGCGGGCAUAACCUGCCGGUGGUCUACUAAACUCUGUUUACUAUGUCAUUCUGAAUAAUAUAACUAAAUAAGUUAAAACUUUCAACAACGGAUCUCUUGGUUCUGGCAUCGAUGAAGAACGCAGCGAAAUGCGAUAAGUAAUGUGAAUUGCAGAAUUCAGUGAAUCAUCGAAUCUUUGAACGCACAUUGCGCCCAUUAGUAUUCUAGUGGGCAUGCCUGUUCGAGCGUCAUUUCAACCCUUAAGCCCUGUUGCUUAGCGUUGGGAGCCUACAGAUACCCUCUGUAGUUCCUUAAAGUUAGUGGCGGAGUCGGUUUCACACUCUAGACGUAGUAAAUUUUAUCUCGCCUAUAGAUGAGCCGGUCCCUUGCCGUAAAACCCCCUAAUUUCUAAAGGUUGACCUCGGAUCAGGUAGGAAUACCCGCUGAACUUAAGCAUAUCA